RNAcentral lists this long non-coding RNA (410 nucleotides) under Rattus norvegicus (Norway rat). RNAcentral describes it as "long non-coding RNA NONRATT013478". The record is from RNAcentral. Lineage: Eukaryota; Metazoa; Chordata; Mammalia; Rodentia; Muridae.
GGGGAGGAGCGGGAAGGCCGAGGAAGCGCAGGAGACGGUGGGAGGCCUGCUCUGGGCAGGUUGGGCACCAGGUCCAGGGAGCUAGGCUUGGCCGGGGAGGCAGCACGAGGUGCCGCAGCAGACUGGCUUCCUCUGAGUACCCCUCCAUGAUGUGGCCAGGGACCCCUCGGCUGGGGCUUUGGGAGCUGGAGUGCUUUGGAGAGCCUGGCUUCGAUGGAGAGAAUCAGCGGUCAUGAAGAUACAAGGGUGAAGCUGAUUGGCUGUCCAGAAUAGCCUGUCUGUCCCUUUGGACUGCCCUGGAAGGUUGUAACACAGCACUUCUCCAAAUGAGUCAUGCCUCCAACUACAUCUCCCAUGGUCCCUCUGGCCACUGACCGCUCUCACCCCCUGAGAGUGUUUUACAUCAACUC